Molecule: ribosomal RNA, 234 nt
Filed under: uncultured bacterium
Lineage: Bacteria
Description: partial 16S ribosomal RNA
Rfam family: Bacterial small subunit ribosomal RNA
Source: RNAcentral
GACGAACGCUGGCGGCGUGCUUAACACAUGCAAGUCGAGCGGUAAGGCCCUUUCGGGGGGUACACGAGCGGCGAACGGGUGAGUAACACGUGGGUGACCUGCCCUUAGCUCUGGGAUAAGCCUGGGAAACUGGGGUCUAAUACCGGAUAUGACUCCAUGACGCAUGUUGUGGGGUGGAAAGCCUUGUGCGGCUAGGGAUGGGCCCGCGGCCUAUCAGCUUGUUGGUGGGGUGAU